UGCAGGAAGAAGGCCUUCCGGUAGUAAACUCCUUUUGUGGGGAACGAACCGGUUCUGGUUGAUACGCGGGGAUAAUGACGGUACCGUAAGAAUAAGCGCCGGCUAACUACGUGCCAGCAGCCGCGGUAAUACGUAGGGUGCAAGCGUUAUUCGGAAUUACUGGGCGUAAAGCGUUCGCAGGCGGUUUUGUAAGACAGGCGUGAAAUCCCCGGGCUCAACCUGGGAAUGGCGCUUGUGACUGCAAAGCUGGAGUGCGGCAGAGGGGGAUGGAAUUCCGCGUGUAGCAGUGAAAUGCGUAGAUAUGCGGAGGAACACCGAUGGCGAAGGCAAUCCCCUGGGCCUGCACUGACGCUCAUGCACGAAAGCGUGGGGAGCAAACAGGAUUAGAUACCCUGGUAGUCCACGCCCUAAACGA
This 415-nucleotide ribosomal RNA is filed under the name uncultured bacterium. Its description in RNAcentral is "bacterial SSU rRNA". It matches the Rfam family "Bacterial small subunit ribosomal RNA", at positions 402 to 809 of the family's 1533-position model. The record is from RNAcentral.